GACGAACGCUGGCGGCGUGCUUAACACAUGCAAGUCGAACGGAAAGGCCCUGCUUUUGUGGGGUGCUCGAGUGGCGAACGGGUGAGUAACACGUGAGUAACCUGCCCUUGACUUUGGGAUAACUUCAGGAAACUGGGGCUAAUACCGGAUAGGAGCUCCUGCUGCAUGGUGGGGGUUGGAAAGUUUCGGCGGUUGGGGAUGGACUCGCGGCUUAUCAGCUUGUUGGUGGGGUAGUGGCUUACCAAGGCUUUGACGGGUAGCCGGCCUGAGAGGGUGACCGGCCACACUGGGACUGAGCUACGGCCCAGACUCCUACGGGAGGCAGCAGUGGGGAAUAUUGCCCAAUGGGCGGAAGCCUGAUGCAGCAACGCCGCGUGCGGGAUGACGGCCUUCGGGUUGUAAACCGCUUUCGCCUGUGACGAAGCGUGAGUGACGGUAAUGGGUAAAGAAGCACCGGCUAACUACGUG
This 468-nucleotide ribosomal RNA is filed under the name uncultured bacterium. RNAcentral's name for it is "partial 16S ribosomal RNA". It matches the Rfam family "Bacterial small subunit ribosomal RNA", at positions 28 to 507 of the family's 1533-position model. The record is from RNAcentral.